RNAcentral lists this ribosomal RNA (253 nucleotides) under uncultured bacterium. RNAcentral's name for it is "partial 16S ribosomal RNA". It matches the Rfam family "Bacterial small subunit ribosomal RNA", at positions 524 to 776 of the family's 1533-position model. The record is from RNAcentral.
UACAGAGGUCUCAAGCGUUGUUCGGAUUCAUUGGGCGUAAAGAGCGUGUAGGCGGCCCGGUAAGUCCGCUGUGAAAGUCCAGGGCUCAACCCUGGGAUGCCGGUGGAUACUGCUGAGCUCGAGUCCGGAAGAGGAGUGUGGAAUUCCUGGUGUAGCGGUGAAAUGCGCAGAUAUCAGGAGGAACACCAAUGGCGAAGGCAGCACUCUGGGACGGUACUGACGCUGAGACGCGAAAGCGUGGGGAGCAAACAGG